GCAUAUCAAUAAGCGGAGGAAAAGAAACCAACAGGGAUUGCCUCAGUAGCGGCGAGUGAAGCGGCAAGAGCUCAGAUUUGAAAUCUCACCUAGUGUGCGAGUUGUAAAUUGCAGGUUGGAGUCUCGGGUUAGACGUGUGUGCAAGUCCCUUGGAACAGGGUGCCACUGAGGGUGAGAGCCCCGUAGCGUGCAUGUCGACACCUGUGAGGCCCUUCUGACGAGUCGAGUUGUUUGGGAAUGCAGCUCUAAGUGGGUGGUAAAUUCCAUCUAAGGCUAAAUAUUGGCGAGAGACCGAUAGCGAACAAGUACUGUGAAGGAAAGAUGAAAAGCACUUUGAAAAGAGAGUGAAACAGCACGUGAAAUUGUUGAAAGGGAAGGGUAUUGGGCUCGACAUGGGAUUUACGCAUCGUUGCCUCUCGUGGGCGGCGCUCUGGGUUUUUCCUGGGCCAGCAUCGGUUUUCGUUGCAGGACAAGGACAAUUGGAAUGUGGCUCCUCGGAGUGUUAUAGCCUUUUGUAGAUGCUGCGUAUGGGGACCGAGGGCUGCGGCGGACUCG
This 555-nucleotide ribosomal RNA is filed under the name Pichia kluyveri. RNAcentral's name for it is "eukaryotic LSU rRNA". It matches the Rfam family "Eukaryotic large subunit ribosomal RNA", at positions 38 to 604 of the family's 3401-position model. Lineage: Eukaryota; Fungi; Ascomycota; Pichiomycetes; Pichiales; Pichiaceae. The record is from RNAcentral.